RNAcentral lists this ribosomal RNA (993 nucleotides) under uncultured Bacteroidota bacterium. RNAcentral's name for it is "bacterial SSU rRNA". It matches the Rfam family "Bacterial small subunit ribosomal RNA", at positions 496 to 1505 of the family's 1533-position model. The record is from RNAcentral. Lineage: Bacteria; Pseudomonadati; Bacteroidota.
GCUACUCGUGCAGCAGCGCGGUAAUACGAGAUGCAGCGUAUCCGAUUUAUUGGGUUUAAAGGGUGGCGUAGGCGGUUGGAUAAGUCAGCGGGUGAAAGUUUUCUGCUUAACAGGAAAAUGCCGUUGAUACUGUCUGGCUAGAAUAUGGUUGCUGUGAGUGGAAUGUGUGGUGUAGCGGUGAAAUGCUUAGAUAUCACACAGAAUAUCGAUUGCGAAGGCAGCUCACAAAGCCAUUAUUGACGCUGAGGCACGAAAGUGUGGGGAUCAAACAGGAUUAGAUACCCUGGUAGUCCACACUGUAAACGAUGAUAACUCGCUGUCGGCGAUACACAGUCGGUGGCCAAGCGAAAGCGAUAAGUUAUCCACCUGGGGAGUACGACCGCAAGGUUGAAACUCAAAGGAAUUGACGGGGGCCCGCACAAGCGGAGGAACAUGUGGUUUAAUUCGAUGAUACGCGAGGAACCUUACCCGGGCUCGAACGGCUUUAGAAUAUAUCAGAGAUGGUAUAGCCAGCAAUGGCUGAAGUCGAGGUGCUGCAUGGUUGUCGUCAGCUCGUGCCGUGAGGUGUCGGCUUAAGUGCCAUAACGAGCGCAACCCUUGUCGUUAGUUACCAUCAGGUCAUGCUGGGGACUCUAACGAGACUGCCACCGUAAGGUGUGAGGAAGGGGGGGAUGACGUCAAAUCAGCACGGCCCUUACGUCCGGGGCGACACACGUGUUACAAUGGUAGGUACAGAGGGCAGCUACCCAGUGAUGGGAUGCGAAUCUCUAAAGCCUAUCUCAGUUCGGAUUGGAGUCUGCAACUCGACUCCAUGAAGUUGGAUUCGCUAGUAAUCGCGCAUCAGCCAUGGCGCGGUGAAUACGUUCCCGGGCCUUGUACACACCGCCCGUCAAGCCAUGGAAGCUGGGGGUGCCUGAAGUUCGUGACCGCAAGCAAGGAGCGACCUAGGGCAAAACUAGUAACUGGGGCUAAGUCGUAACAAGGUAACCAAUC